AUGACAGAAUUAAUAAUGAUUUGCUUUUGUUAUAUGGAAAAGAGCAGCUUGGACAUUCUGCAAAACAUCUCAUUUGUUGUUCACCUGAAGAAAGAAAAUCAAACCAGUUUGAAACAACAUGAAGGGAUCGUGGACUUACACUUCGUUUGUCAUCUGAAAGGUAAAGGAGCAGAGCAGGAGAGGUGGGAAAAGAAAAAGACCUAUAGAGACUCUCACCUCUGCAUCUCCCUGCGGAGGUCAAAUGACGGAGAGAAGCUGAGGAGCUCAGAGAGACUUCUGGAGCACUGGCUCCAUCCCUGCUCCCAAAAUCAGCCACGACAAAGUGUCUGGGAUACACGCGUCCCCGCUGUAAACGACACCAGUGUCUAAAAGCCUGCUUUAGGGUGAAGAAGGAGAGCAGAAGAUGGUGUGAAAGCAGAAGUGGAGGUGUGCGUGGCUGCAGAUCCCUGGAGAAGAUGCUGUGAAGCUCUCCGCUCGCUUCACCUCCGACUGACAUCACGGCCUGGUCACACACACAUACACACUCCUGAACAUCCUUCCAAAGACAUACUCACUCACUCUCUGGAAGGUAAUGGUGUGUUGGUCUCCGGGGUUCAGGGUGUUGUUGAACAUCUUGCAGGUUAAAUGCGCUCUUAAAGACUCACUUCUCAACCUGAGCAGAACCCAGAGACACACGACCGGGUCAAAAAGUACAACAUUUAAAAAUACAAUCAAAAUAGAUAAAAUCAAGUCCUGUCCAACAUUAUUUCACUUUGACUACUGAAUUCAGAAUGAUUUCCAUAUUCAAAUUCUAUCAAAAAUAGUAAUAAUAGUUUGCUAGAAUGCAUAUAUUUUUUUUUUUUUUUAAAUUGUAAAUGUCACUUUAUCGAACAUAAAUGCAUUGCAAAGUGCAUAUAUUUGUUCAUAUUAUAUUUUUAUAUGCUUUGUUUUUCUAAAUAUAAAGGGUAAUUCACAUUUGUGUGUGUUGCUUUAGAUAGUACAGAUUGUUUAAUAGCAGCUUCACAGUAAUAAACAAGAGCAUGACUGUAUUAGUGUUACAAAGUUCUUCAUAUGUGAAAUUCUUUAAUAAAGGGCUU
Long non-coding RNA from Cyprinus carpio carpio, 1076 nucleotides. NCBI's taxonomy places the organism in Eukaryota, Metazoa, Chordata, Actinopteri, Cypriniformes, Cyprinidae. The record is from Ensembl.